Molecule: non-coding RNA, 2395 nt
Organism: Pelobates cultripes (western spadefoot toad)
Lineage: Eukaryota; Metazoa; Chordata; Amphibia; Anura; Pelobatidae
Source: the annotation of a GenBank genome assembly
CUUGUAACAAAUAAAUUCAAUUGGAAUUUUAUAAACAGUCAUACUUGUAGCAAUAAGCCUCCCAUCAAUAUGUUUUAAAACAAACAGGGAGAUUUAGAAAUGUGUUGCCAAAGGUAAGUGGGGCACAGCUCUAAAAAUUGAAACCAAGGAAUGUUCCUGCUAAUUCCAUUGGUUGCCAUUGUUGACUUCCACUUUUAGAAUAAUGCCCCACUUUUCUGACUAGCAUUUUUAUAAAUAUCUUCCAGUGUAUUCAGCUCCAGGAAUAUUGACUGCGCAAACUCUUUAAAUAUUUUUCACGUAAAUGAAUGUAUAACACACAAAGGGAAUAUAGAAAAAUAAAUAGAAAUAAAACACAAGAGCCUUUAUUAUUUUAAAUACAAAAUCUUUGUUUGUUUUUAAUAGGUGAUGUGCAGGGUCAGUUGCCAGCAGCACCAAAGUCCUGCCAUUAUCGCAAUACAUACACACUACAAUGCACCAGUAUGGUAGGUAUGGAAUAGCACUGUGAGUGAAAGGUGUCAGGUCAGCCGUAUGGGCAGUGUGUAACAAUUACUUAAAUUGGAAUAAACUUGUUGGAAACUCCUCAAGCAGCAAAACAUGUUUGACUAGUGCAAGACAAGGUGCAGCAGACAGGCAGCAAGAUAUAAGAUGCAGUUGCCGAAUACUCACUACCAGUAAAUUCAUUGCCUCGGUUCCUUACUGCACCCCACUGCAAAAGCUAGAAUUGGGAAGAGUUAUGGCUCUGGUGCUUAUAGCUCGAAUUUUUAGUUUUAUUACUGGUCGAAUUCAUGACCCUCUCUACCCAUUUGGUAUAACAGAUUGGUGGUGCAUUUGUACUAAUAAAAGUGAUAACUUUUACUUUUGUGACUUGCAGCUAAAGAAAAAUAAAAUAAAAUUCAUUCUUUCCAUAUUAUACACUAUAAUCUGUCAAAGUUUCAAUGUCAAUGUUUCAAGCGUGGUAAAGUUAAGUAAAUCAAGGGUGUCAUAUUUUUGAAUCAAUCUAUGUACUAUCUAACAAUGAGACCAGCUAUAUUUUUGUAACAUCUUUUAAAACUCUGAUAUAUCAAGCGUUGAAACCUUUCAUUUUUAUUCUACAGCUUUUGUAUAGUGUUAAAUAUAAAUAUAUAUAGUCUUUGGUCUGAUUAUUUCAUGGAAAAGGGUACUAUGACCUAAAGAUUAAGGAGAACUAUCUAGCUGAAAAUGGUAAAGUUACAGAAGACGGAUUCAUUCUGUUUAUUGGAUAACUUCAGAGUUAUAUAGCUGCAGGCAUCCAAUUAACAGGCUACAUUAUCUUUAAUGUCAAUUCUCGCUAUUGUAUCAUGGUUGUUUUUUUAAACGAAAGAGGCCGGAUUAUACUCUGGAAAAAAGAAAGGGGUUUCCAAUGCAAAAUUUAAUUCUGCAGUUAAUCGAAUUGGCAGCCGUUCAAGAGAAUCAGUCACAGCAUACACCCACCUUCAUGUACCAGAAAAAUGGGCUCCCAAUAAGUAAAUCAGCAAGAUAAGUCCCCUUAUUCUGUAAAUCUGUAGCUUCCCUUAAUGCACAUUCUUUUAACCCUGAAACCACCAGUUUAUCUUGUCUCGAAAUGGAGAGACAAGCAAUGCUACUCUGGCAGCUAAAGAUUUAACGGAAGAUUAUUUGUUAAAGUAAACUAUGUUGAUGGCAAUAGUUGCAUCUGUUCUGGAAAUAAAGAGACAUGCACUAUCUUCCAAUGGGUUCCCAUGUCUUGAACAUCAGUCUGUACCGGUAUGGUAAUUUCUUAAUCUGAUGAGCUGAUAGAUGGAUUAUAUCUGUGAAAAUAUAUUUUAACUAAACAUAUCCAAUCAAUGUUUGUUUAGGCAUAAUAGAUACUACAGUGAAACAAGAAAGAGGGAGAUUGUUUAGUUACAACAGGAUAAGUGGGUAUUGGGAGGUUUGGAAUAGUAACAAGAAGGACAAGAUACAUUGAUGAGUAUUAUUUCUAAGGGUAUUCUAGUACUAGACACAAACGGACGGAUUAUAUUAACAUGGAUAUACACACCCUGGUUUGUUGUAAUAUCAACCAGUGAUGAUUAUGCUCCCACAGUGAAUACAACCCAGUCCGUAAUGUGCAGACAACAAUUCUACCUUUCAUGCAGCUCCUAUCAAAGUAAGGCAUCUGCUAAAACGAAAUUACCCUGCAUAAGCCACCCGUGGGUCAAGGUAUCAAUGCUGUUGUGACAACUGCACCAUUUACUGUGUGCUCUUUCUUUAAGAUCUGUUUCCAGGGACGGGUCAUGCAACCUAUUGCCCUCUAGGCAUUGUCGAACUGCAACUCCCAUCAAUGGUAGCAAACUGCGGUCUGACUUAGGGUGAUGGGAGUUCCACUGUAACAACUUUUAAGGCUGAGUGAUUGAUGUAAAUAUAUAUAUAUAUAUAUAUA